RNAcentral lists this ribosomal RNA (490 nucleotides) under uncultured bacterium. RNAcentral's name for it is "partial 16S ribosomal RNA". It matches the Rfam family "Bacterial small subunit ribosomal RNA", at positions 30 to 507 of the family's 1533-position model. The record is from RNAcentral.
AUUGAACGCUGGCGGCAGGCCUAACACAUGCAAGUCGAACGGUAACAGGAAGAAGCUUGCUUCUUUGCUGACGAGUGGCGGACGGGUGAGUAAUGUCUGGGAAACUGCCUGAUGGAGGGGGAUAACUACUGGAAACGGUAGCUAAUACCGCAUAACGUCGCAAGACCAAAGAGGGGGACCUUCGGGCCCCUUGCCAUCGGAUGUGCCCAGAUGGGAUUAGCUAGUAGGUGGGGUAACGGCUCACCUAGGCGACGAUCCCUAGCUGGUCUGAGAGGAUGACCAGCCACACUGGAACUGAGACACAGUCCAGACUCCUACGGGAGGCCGCAGUGGGGAAUAUUGCACAAGGGGCGCAAGCCUGAUGCAGCCAUGCCGCGUGUAUGAAGAAGGCCUUCGGGUUGUAAAGUACUUUCAGCGGGGAGGAAGGGAGUAAAGUUAAUACCUUUGCUCAUUGACGUUACCCGCAGAAGAAGCACCGGCUAACUCCGUG